UGGCUCAGAACGAACGCUGGCGGCGUGCUUAACACAUGCAAGUCGAGUGCGCGGUUGUAGCAAUACAACUGGCGCACGGCGCACGGGUGCGUAACACGUGGGUAAUCUGCCCUCUGAUGGGGAAUAACCCGCCGAAAGGCGGGCUAAUUCCGCAUAAUAUUCCGAGAACUUCGGUUUUUGGACUGAAAGGCGUAAGUCGUCGGAGGAGGAGCCCGCGCCCGAUUAGCUAGUUGGUAGGGUAAUGGCCUACCAAGGCUUUGAUCGGUAGCUGGUCUGAGAGGAUGGCCAGCCACACUGGAACUGAGACAGAGUCCAGACUCUACGUGUUGGCAGCAGGGAAUCUUUCU
Molecule: ribosomal RNA, 347 nt
Filed under: uncultured bacterium
Lineage: Bacteria
Description: bacterial SSU rRNA
Rfam family: Bacterial small subunit ribosomal RNA
Source: RNAcentral